RNA transcript from Rosa rugosa (rugosa rose), 1503 nucleotides. It is a transcript of the gene named ceramide synthase 1 LOH3-like, with no coding region annotated. The transcript has 7 exons. NCBI's taxonomy places the organism in Eukaryota, Viridiplantae, Streptophyta, Magnoliopsida, Rosales, Rosaceae. The record is from RefSeq and is a predicted model, not a curated record.
UAGAAAACAGUCAAAAGUUUUAUUUAUCAUAAACACUUGCGGCCUUUUCGAAAGUCAAACACAGCCUCUGUCUUCUUCGGCGUAAAUUCCCAGACAGCAGAUCGUCCUUCCUUCUCCUCCAAAUUCCCGGGUUCGGUUCCAUCCAGAUGGAUUCGGGUCUCAGUGAUUGGGUCAAGUACUUGGAGGAGGAGUCAUACCCAGUUCCCAGAGACUUCUUGGUCCUUCCCUUGUUUGUUCUCCUCUUCCCUACACUUAGGCUCUUCCUUGAUAAAUUCGUCUUUGAGAGAUUAGCAAGAUGGCUUAUUUUUGGAAAGGGACAGAAGAAAGUUGAGACACAUGAUGAGCGGAAAAAAAUUACUAAAUUUAAAGAGUCGGCAUGGAAAUGCCUAUACUUUUUUUCCGCAGAGGCUUUGGCCGUUUCCAUAACAUACAAUGAGCCUUGGUUCUCAAAAACAAAAAACUUUUGGGUAGGGCCUGGCGAUCAGGUUUGGCCCGACCAGAAAACGAAAUUAAAAUUGAAGGCACUCUACAUGUAUUCUGCUGGGUUUUACAUGUACUCCAGCUUUGCUUUGGUGUUUUGGGAAACAAGGCGUUCCGACUUUUGGGUAUCAAUGGCUCAUCAUGUAGCAACAACAAUAUUGAUUGUGUUCUCUUACACAGCGAGGUUUUCCCGAGUUGGUUCAAUCAUUUUAGCCCUCCAUGAAGGAUCUGAUGUGUUUUUAGAAAUUGCGAAACUGUCAAAAUAUUGUGGCUUAGAACUGAUUGCCAGCGUUUCUUUUGUUAUGUUUGUUCUUUCUUGGACAGUUCUACGUCUUAUUUACUUUCCCUUCUGGAUAAUUUGGAGUACCUGCUAUGAAUCUCUUUUGAAUUUGGACAAGGAAAAGCACAUGGUGGAUGGAUCUAUAUACUAUUACUUGUUUAAUACUCUUCUAAUUUGCUUGCUCAUUCUUCAUAUUUAUUGGUGGAAGUUGAUGGUUUGGAUGCUCAUAAAGCAAAUCCGCUCAUGGGGGAAACUUGAUGAUGAUGUUCGAUCUGAUUCCGAAGGUGAUGAUGAUGAACACGAUGAUUGACAAUAAGAAGAUAGUCUUAAACGUGAGGCACCUCUGUAUUCUCAAGGUUAUAGUGAAACAAUAAUCACCAUGCUUUCUAGCCUAUUUAAGCAAUCUAUAGUGUUUUAUUUCUUUCUCCAUGCAGAUUGAAUAUUUAUACAGGCAAGUGUGUAUAUCCAGAUUAUAUCCAAAAUUCAUACAUACACAGGUAGGAUGAGGCAGAGAAACUUAAUUCAUUAUUCAUUGUCCAAGCUUUGGGAAGCAUAACAAACAGCCACCAAAAAUAUUGGUUAUAGAACAUUACUAUUGCUUGAGGUGUCACUGAGCCUGUAUUACAUUGUUAUUGUUGGUGUAAAUUACAAUAUUUUAUCCUUAUUCAUACUAUUCGAGAAAGGUGAAUCACUUAUAAACAUAGACAAUGGAGGGCUUUGGCCUGAUUUUUAUUUCACUCUUC